This 761-nucleotide ribosomal RNA is filed under the name uncultured Methanocorpusculum sp. RNAcentral describes it as "bacterial SSU rRNA". It matches the Rfam family "Archaeal small subunit ribosomal RNA", at positions 23 to 792 of the family's 1478-position model. The record is from RNAcentral. Lineage: Archaea; Methanobacteriati; Methanobacteriota; Methanomicrobia; Methanomicrobiales; Methanocorpusculaceae.
GCCAUUGCUAUCAGGGUUUGACUAAGCCAUGCGAGUCGAGAGGUGUAAGACCUCGGCAUACUGCUCAGUAACACGUGGUUAACCUGCCCUAAGGUGGAGAAUACUCCCGGGAAACUGGGGCUAAUGCUCCAUAGUGGAUAUGUCCUGGAAUGGUAUAUCCUCGAAAGAUCCGUCGCCUUAGGAUGGGACUGCGUCCGAUUAGGUUGUUGGCGGGGUAACGGCCCACCAAGCCUUUUAUCGGUACGGGUUGUGGGAGCAAGAUCCCGGAGAUGGAUUCUGAGACAUGAAUCCAGGCCCUACGGGGCGCAGCAGGCGCGCAAACUUUACAAUGCGAGCAAUCGUGAUAAGGAAACCCUGAGUGCCUGUCGAUGCAGGCUGUUCAUAUAUCUAAAUCAUAUGUGAAGAAAGGGCAGGGCAAGACCGGUGCCAGCCGCCGCGGUAAUACCGGCUGCUCGAGUGAUGGCCACUAUUACUGGGUUUAAAGCGUCCGUAGCUUGACUGUUAGGUCUCUUGGGAAAUCUUCGCGCUCAACGUGAAGGCGUCUAAGAGAUACCGGCAGUCUUGGAACUGGGAGAGGUAAACCGUACUUCGGGGGUAGGAGUGAAAUCUUGUAAUCCUCGAGGGACGACCUAUGGCGAAGGCAGUUUACCAGAACAGCUUCGACAGUGAGGGACGAAAGCUGGGGGAGCAAACGGGAUUAGAUACCCCGGUAGUCCCAGCCGUAAACAAUGUGCGUUAGGUGUGUCGGUAACCACGUGUUA